UACGGAGGGAGCUAGCGUUAUUCGGAAUUACUGGGCGUAAAGCGUACGUAGGCGGCUUUGUAAGUAAGAGGUGAAAGCCCGGAGCUCAACUCCGGAACUGCCUUUUAGACUGCAUCGCUUGAAUCCAGGAGAGGUGAGUGGAAUUCCGAGUGUAGAGGUGAAAUUCGUAGAUAUUCGGAAGAACACCAGUGGCGAAGGCGGCUGACUGGACAUGUAUUGACGCUGAGGUGCGAAAGCGUGGGGAGCAAACAGG
RNAcentral lists this ribosomal RNA (253 nucleotides) under uncultured bacterium. RNAcentral's name for it is "partial 16S ribosomal RNA". It matches the Rfam family "Bacterial small subunit ribosomal RNA", at positions 524 to 776 of the family's 1533-position model. The record is from RNAcentral.